GACGAACGCUGGCGGCGUGCUUAACACAUGCAAGUCGAACGAUGAAGAAGAGAAACGCGAACUUCGGUUCAAAUUUCACUUCGGAUUAGUGGCAGACGGGUGAGUAACGCGUGAGCAACCUACCUCUUACAAAGGGAUAGCCUCGGGAAACCGUGAUUAAUACCAUAUGACACAUUCAUAAGGCAUCUUAAGAAUGUUAAAGCUACGGCGGUAAGAGAUGGGCUCGCGUCCCAUUAGCUAGUUGGUGAGGUAACGGCCCACCAAGGCGACGAUGGGUAACCGGGCUGAGAGGGUGAACGGUCACAUUGGAACUGAGACACGGUCCAAACUCCUACGGGAGGCAGCAGUGGGGAAUAUUGCACAAUGGAGGGAACUCUGAUGCAGCGACGCUGCGUGAGCGAUGAAGGAAUUCGUUUCGUAAAGCUCUGUUCUAUGGGAAGAAAAGGACUGUACCAUAGGAGAAAGCCCCGGCUAAAUACGUG
Molecule: ribosomal RNA, 482 nt
Filed under: uncultured bacterium
Lineage: Bacteria
Description: partial 16S ribosomal RNA
Rfam family: Bacterial small subunit ribosomal RNA
Source: RNAcentral